This 378-nucleotide ribosomal RNA is filed under the name uncultured eukaryote. RNAcentral describes it as "partial 18S ribosomal RNA". It matches the Rfam family "Eukaryotic small subunit ribosomal RNA", at positions 592 to 976 of the family's 1831-position model. The record is from RNAcentral.
CAAUAGCGUAUAUUAAAGUUGUUGCAGUUAAAAAGCUCGUAGUUGGAUUUCGGGACGGGCCAGUUGGUCCGCCGCAAGGUGUGUUACUGACUGGUCUGUUCUUCUUCGCAAAGACUGCGUGUGCUCUUCGUUGAGUGUGCGUAGGAUUUACGACGUUUACUUUGAAAAAAUUAGAGUGUUCAAAGCAGGCUAUCGCUUGAACACAUGAGCAUGGAAUAAUGGAAUAGGACUUUGGUCCUAUUUUGUUGGUUUCUAGGACCGAAGUAAUGAUUAAGAGGGACAAUUGGGGGCAUCCGUAUUUCGUUGUCAGAGGUGAAAUUCUUGGAUUUACGAAAGACGAACAACUGCGAAAGCACUUGCCAAGAGUGUUUUCAUUAA